CCAGACUCCUACGGGAGGCAGCAGUAGGGAAUCUUCGGCAAUGGACGGAAGUCUGACCGAGCAACGCCGCGUGAGUGAAGAAGGUUUUCGGAUCGUAAAGCUCUGUUGUAAGAGAAGAACGAGUGUGAGAGUGGAAAGUUCACACUGUGACGGUAUCUUACCAGAAAGGGACGGCUAACUACGUGCCAGCAGCCGCGGUAAUACGUAGGUCCCGAGCGUUGUCCGGAUUUAUUGGGCGUAAAGCGAGCGCAGGCGGUUAGAUAAGUCUGAAGUUAAAGGCUGUGGCUUAACCAUAGUACGCUUUGGAAACUGUUUAACUUGAGUGCAAGAGGGGAGAGUGGAAUUCCAUGUGUAGCGGUGAAAUGCGUAGAUAUAUGGAGGAACACCGGUGGCGAAAGCGGCUCUCUGGCUUGUAACUGACGCUGAGGCUCGAAAGCGUGGGGAGCAAACAGGAUUAGAUACCCUGGUAGUCCACGCCGUAAACGAUGAGUGCUAG
RNAcentral lists this ribosomal RNA (496 nucleotides) under uncultured bacterium. RNAcentral's name for it is "bacterial SSU rRNA". It matches the Rfam family "Bacterial small subunit ribosomal RNA", at positions 331 to 819 of the family's 1533-position model. The record is from RNAcentral.